AUGGAAGGAUACAGAGAGGCCAGAGAGUUUGCUAUCAAAUUCUCAAGCAGCAAGAAGAUAGCUAGCCUAAAUGAAUCAAGACAUGAACAGUGUCGAGAAGUUACGGAUGCAGAAGUGCAGCAAGUAUCGCCUCUAUUUUUUUUAUCUCAAAUCAACCGCAGAAAAAACUACUGGAUAAUCAUCUUCUUGCCACUUUAUAAUUGGCUUACUGCUAUGAUCCUGGUGUUAUUUGCUAUGAGAAAAGAACGAGAGGUUCAAUGUGCACCUCAUAUCAUCACAUCAAAUGGAAUAAUUGAAUAG
Molecule: ribosomal RNA, 300 nt
Filed under: Triticum aestivum (bread wheat)
Lineage: Eukaryota; Viridiplantae; Streptophyta; Magnoliopsida; Poales; Poaceae
Description: partial small subunit ribosomal RNA
Source: RNAcentral